GUAGGUGAACCUGCGGAAGGAUCAUUAUCGAGAGACGGGGUCUAACCGGCCCCACCUCUUCAUCCGUGUCUACAUACCAAUGUUGCUUUGGCGAGCCUCGGGCUUGUUCCGGGGAGUUCACGCUCCUUCGCCCGCCAAAGGCCCAUGCAAACCCUGUUAUCAGUGUCGUCCGAGUAAACAUAUAAUAAUUAAAACUUUCAACAACGGAUCUCUUGGUUCUG
This 221-nucleotide unclassified non-coding RNA is filed under the name rhizosphere metagenome. RNAcentral describes it as "partial ribosomal RNA internal transcribed spacer region". The record is from RNAcentral.